GGGCGUGUGGCGUAGUUGGUAGCGCGUCUGCCUUGCAAGCAGAAGGUCACUGGUUCGAAUCCUGUCUCGUCCA
This is a non-coding RNA of Candidozyma pseudohaemuli, 73 nucleotides long. The record is from the annotation of a RefSeq genome assembly. NCBI's taxonomy places the organism in Eukaryota, Fungi, Ascomycota, Pichiomycetes, Serinales, Metschnikowiaceae.